AGGAGGAACAACCCCAGUGGCGGCAGCCAGCUCUGGAGCCCUGGAGUCAGCCCCCGCAGUAGCUCCAGAGCUCUCCGUCUGCAGGGCCUGGAGGCUCCGGGGCGGG
This 106-nucleotide microRNA precursor is filed under the name Canis lupus familiaris (dog). Its description in RNAcentral is "mir-8834 microRNA precursor family". It matches the Rfam family "mir-8834 microRNA precursor family". The record is from Rfam by way of RNAcentral. Lineage: Eukaryota; Metazoa; Chordata; Mammalia; Carnivora; Canidae. RNAcentral also lists the same sequence under 1 other name.